GCAAUUAUCUUAUCUGAAUGCCGUGAGAUUUUGCAGCCUUCCACAGUGCUUCCAAACAAGCUGAAAUAAGUCAACAAAAAAUGACAAACAUCGUUACUGGACUUCCCACUUUCUACAUCAGCCAUCAGAUCAUGCAUACCUAAUAUUUCAUGAAUUGUAAUCCUUCAUAAAAGCCAACAGACUGUUUGGUUUCAGUAGGCCAAAUGGAUUUAUUGUGACAUUUGCUGCCAGUCCCUUCCUGCUUCAGAAGUGCUGUCCCAGGG
Molecule: long non-coding RNA, 263 nt
Filed under: Anser brachyrhynchus (Pink-footed goose)
Lineage: Eukaryota; Metazoa; Chordata; Aves; Anseriformes; Anatidae
Description: lncRNA (ENSABRG00000015845.1)
Source: RNAcentral